Molecule: ribosomal RNA, 253 nt
Filed under: uncultured bacterium
Lineage: Bacteria
Description: partial 16S ribosomal RNA
Rfam family: Bacterial small subunit ribosomal RNA
Source: RNAcentral
UACGUGGGGGGCAAGCGUUGUUCGGAAUUACUGGGCGUAAAGGGCUCGUAGGCGGCCAACUAAGUCGGACGUGAAAUCCCUCGGCUUAACCGGGGAACUGCGUCCGAUACUGGAUGGCUUGAGUUCGGGAGAGGGAUGCGGAAUUCCAGGUGUAGCGGUGAAAUGCGUAGAUAUCUGGAGGAACACCGGUGGCGAAGGCGGCAUCCUGGACCGACACUGACGCUGAGGAGCGAAAGCCAGGGGAGCAAACGGG